GGCUGGGCAAGACCGGUGCCAGCCGCCGCGGUAACACCGGCAGCUCUAGUGGUAGCAGUUUUUAUUGGGCCUAAAGCGUCCGUAGCCGGUUUAAUAAGUCUCUGGUGAAAUCCUGUAGCUUAACUGUGGGAAUUGCUGGAGAUACUAUUAGACUUGAGACCGGGAGAGGUUAGAGGUACUCCCAGGGUAGAGGUGAAAUUCUGUAAUCCUGGGAGGACCGCCUGUUGCGAAGGCGUCUAACUGGAACGGUUCUGACGGUGAGGGACGAAAGUUAGGGGCGCGAACCGGAUUAGAUACCCGGGUAGUCCUAACUGUAAACGAUGCGGACUUGGUGUUGGGGUGGCUUUGAGCUGCUCCAGUGCCGAAGGGAAGCUGUUAAGUCCGCCGCCUGGGAAGUACGGUCGCAAGACUGAAACUUAA
Molecule: ribosomal RNA, 420 nt
Filed under: uncultured archaeon
Lineage: Archaea
Description: bacterial SSU rRNA
Rfam family: Archaeal small subunit ribosomal RNA
Source: RNAcentral